UUCCGGAUAAUCGAAAUUUCGUAU
RNAcentral lists this small nuclear RNA (24 nucleotides) under Arabidopsis thaliana (thale cress). RNAcentral's name for it is "snRNA_17560". Lineage: Eukaryota; Viridiplantae; Streptophyta; Magnoliopsida; Brassicales; Brassicaceae. The record is from RNAcentral.